Molecule: long non-coding RNA, 173 nt
Organism: Panicum hallii
Lineage: Eukaryota; Viridiplantae; Streptophyta; Magnoliopsida; Poales; Poaceae
Exons: 3
Source: RefSeq, a predicted model, not a curated record
UUACAGGGGAGGUGCUGUCCAUUUUUCCCCAAAUUUGUGAGGAUUUCACCCAUCCAAGUGCACCAAAGCUAUUGCUAGUAUCAUCUUCUUCAGGGAGUUUUCAGUUCUACUCCAGAUGGACCGGCAAUGGAUGCACGGAAGCCGGAGCACCUCAGCGUGGAUUCAGGGUUUAG